Molecule: long non-coding RNA, 423 nt
Organism: Seriola aureovittata
Lineage: Eukaryota; Metazoa; Chordata; Actinopteri; Carangiformes; Carangidae
Exons: 3
Source: RefSeq, a predicted model, not a curated record
UGACUUGGAGACAAAGUCAACACCUUCAACUCGUUGUUGUUCCUCAAACCGUUCCUCAACCAUUGUUGCAGUGUGGAAGGAUGAAGGAGUGUACUUGGUCUGCAACAAUGUUCAGCCUAACAGUAUAAGAAGCCUGGCACUCCCUCCACUCAUCUCCAGACUGUCAGCGUAUCUCAGUGGAACCGCUCCAGCCCUCAGCCUCUGUCCACCUGCUCCCCCACGCCUCAUCUGCUCUGAACCCAGUCCGCCUGCCCUGCUCCGCUUCAGCUACAGUCCAGGAUACUGAACAGCCACCCAGCCGCUACACCUAUCUAUCUUGGAUCCAACAGAAAACCAAACCGUAACACUGCCUCUAAUAAAAGUCUGUUACAUUCAGGAGUUGAAGUAAAUAAAGACUAAACUAUCGUGGAGACAAAAUAAGAA